UAGAGUUUGAUCCUGGCUCAGGANGAACNCUNGNGGCAANCANUCNACUUNCAACUAGCACGCUGAAGGAGGAGCUUGCUUCUCCGGAUGAGUUGCGAACGGGUGAGUAACGCGUAGNUAACCUGCCUGGUAGCGGGGGAUAACUAUUGGAAACGAUAGCUAAUACCGCAUAACAGUAGAUAUUGCAUGAUAUCUGCUUGAAAGGUGCAAUUGCAUCACUACCAGAUGGACCUGCGUUGUAUUAGCUAGUUGGUGAGGUAACGGCUCACCAAGGCGACGAUACAUAGCCGACCUGAGAGGGUGAUCGGCCACACUGGGACUGAGACACGNCCCAGACUCCUACGGGAGGCAGCAGUAGGGAAUCUUCGGCAAUGGACGGAAGUUUGACCGAGCAACGCCGCGUGAGUAAAGAAGGUUUUCGGAUCGUAAAGCUCUGUUGUAAGANAAGAACGAGUUUAAAAUUGAAAGUUCANCUGUGACGGUNUCUUACCAGAAAGGGCNGCUANUACGUGCCAGCCGCCGNGGUAAUACGUAGGUCCNGAGCGUNUCCGGAUUUAUUGGNCCCNAANGAGCCAGGGGUUUGANAAGUNUGAGUUAANGCCUGGGGGUUAACAUAUUACCUUUGGAANUGNUUA
Molecule: ribosomal RNA, 635 nt
Filed under: uncultured bacterium
Lineage: Bacteria
Description: partial 16S ribosomal RNA
Rfam family: Bacterial small subunit ribosomal RNA
Source: RNAcentral